Molecule: unclassified non-coding RNA, 345 nt
Filed under: soil metagenome
Description: partial contains 5.8S ribosomal RNA, internal transcribed spacer 2, and large subunit ribosomal RNA
Rfam family: 5.8S ribosomal RNA (bases 1-120)
Source: RNAcentral
GAUGAAGAACGCAGCGAAAUGCGAUAAGUAAUGUGAAUUGCAGAAUUCAGUGAAUCAUCGAGUCUUUGAACGCACAUUGCGCCCCCUGGUAUUCCGGGGGGCAUGCCUGUCCGAGCGUCAUUGCUGCCCUCAAGCACGGCUUGUGUGUUGGGCUCCGCCCCCCUCCCGAGGGGCGGGCCCGAAAGGCAGCGGCGGCACCGCGUCCGGUCCUCGAGCGUAUGGGGCUUUGUCACCCGCUCUGUAGGCCCGGCCGGCGCCCGCCGGCGACCCCAAUCAAUCUUUCCAGGUUGACCUCGGAUCAGGUAGGGAUACCCGCUGAACUUAAGCAUAUCAAUAAGCGGAGGA